UUAAGUAAGGAAGGGCGUACGGCGAAUGCCUUGCCACUCGAAACUGAAGAAGGACGCGCCAAACUGCGAAAAGCUCCGUGAAGCUGUAAGGAAGCGAAGAAGCGGAGGUGUCCGAAUGGGGGAACCCGGCAGCAGACAUGAGCUGUCAUCUGCAGGUGAAUACAUGGCCUGCAAGAGAGGUACCCGGCGAACUGAAACAUCUAAGUAGCCGGAGGAAAAGAAAACAACAGUGAUUCCCUGAGUAGCGGCGAGCGAAAGGGGAGAAGCCCAAACCGGUUGAAGGACCGGGGUUGAAGGACCAUGACAUGGCAAGAACGAGGAUAGGAGAACGGGAUCGAAAGCCCGGCCGAAGAAGGUGAAAGCCCUGUAACCGAAAUCCGAGUAAAGCCUAAUGGGAUCCUGAGUACGGCGAGACACGAGAAAUCUUGUCGGAAGCAGGCGGGACCAUCCGCCAAGGCUAAAUAUAAACGAGUGAGCGAUAGUGAACCAGUACCGUGAGGGAAAGGUGAAAAGAACCGCGGGAGCGGAGUGAAAGAGAACCUGAAACCGUAUGCCUACAAGAAGUCAGAGCCCGUUAAGGGGUGAUGGCGUGCCUUUUGUAGAAUGAACCGGCGAGUUGCGACAGACUGCGAGGUUAAGGAGGAAAGACCGGAGCCGAAGCGAAAGCGAGUCUUAAGAGGGCGAAAGUAGGAUGUUGCAGACCCGAAACCGGGUGAUCUAGCCAUGAGCAGGUUGAAGUUGAGGUGAAACUCAAUGGAGGACCGAACCGACUACCGUUGAAAAGUUAGCGGAUGACUUGUGGCUAGGGGAGAAAUUCCAAUCGAACCCGGAGAUAGCUGGUUCUCCCCGAAAUAGCUUUAGGGCUAGCGUCGGAAAGAACCUUAGUGAAGGUAGAGCACUGAAUGUGUGAUGGCCCCAUCCCGGGGUACUGAAUACAAUCAAACUGCGAAUGUCAUUAAGGAUGUCCGGCAGUCAGACUGUGAGUGAUAAGGUCCAUGGUCAAGAGGGAAACAGCCCAGACCGCCAGUUAAGGUCCCAAAAUACAGGCUAAGUGGAAAAGGAUGUGGGGAUGCCCAGACAACUAGGAGGUUGGCUCAGAAGCAGCCAUCCUUUAAAGAGUGCGUAACAGCUCACUAGUCGAGUGACCCUGCGCCGAAAAUGUACCGGGGCUAAGCCUGAUACCGAAACUGCGGAUUGUAGGAAACUAUAGUGGUAGGGGAGCGUUGUAUACGAGCAGAAGCCGUACCGUGAGGAGCGGUGGAUUGUAUAGAAGUGAGAAUGCCGGUGUGAGUAGCGAGAUGUAGGUGAGAAUCCUACACACCGAAAGCCCAAGGAUUCCAGGGGAAGGUUCGUCCGCCCUGGGUAAGUCGGGACCUAACGCGAGGCCGAAAGGCGUAGUGGAUGGAAAGCAGGCGAAAGAUUCCUGCACCCGUAUAUGGAGCGAAGGAGUGACGGAGACGGAUAGUGUGACCCUCUUAAUGGAUUGAGGGCGAAGCGAAGCGGCUGGUUACCAGGCAAAUCCGGUAACCAUAAGGCUAGAGCGUGACAGGUAAGCGAAAUCUUAGGAAAGUAGCGAAGCACAUGAUGACGGCUUCCAGGAAAAGCUUCUGGCAAUGCAUAUGCGGCCCGUACCAAAACCGACACAGGUGGGCAGGGAGAGAAUCCCGAGGUGAGCGAGAGAACUGUUGCCAAGGAACUCGGCAAAAUGACUCCGUAAGUUAGCGAGAAGGAGUGCUUAAGCAAUUAAGCCGCAGUGAAGAGGCCCAAGCGACUGUUUAACUAAAACACAGCUCUCUGCGAAGUCGCAAGACGAAGUAUAGGGGGUGACACCUGCCCGGUGCUGGAAGGUUAAGAGGAUCUGUUAAGAGCGAUCUGAAGCAGUGAUCCGAAGCCCCAGUGAACGGCGGCCGUAACUAUAACGGUCCUAAGGUAGCGAAAUUCCUUGUCAGGUAAGUUCUGACCCGCACGAAAGGCGUAAUGAUUUGGGCACUGUCUCAACAGCCCGCCCGGCGAAAUUGUAGU
This 2022-nucleotide ribosomal RNA is filed under the name human gut metagenome. RNAcentral describes it as "bacterial LSU rRNA". It matches the Rfam family "Bacterial large subunit ribosomal RNA", at positions 3 to 2048 of the family's 2925-position model. The record is from RNAcentral.